RNAcentral lists this ribosomal RNA (605 nucleotides) under uncultured bacterium. RNAcentral's name for it is "bacterial SSU rRNA". It matches the Rfam family "Bacterial small subunit ribosomal RNA", at positions 102 to 704 of the family's 1533-position model. The record is from RNAcentral.
ACGGGUGAGUAAUGCUUAGGAAUCUGCCCAGUAGUGGGGGACAACAGUCGGAAACGGCUGCUAAUACCGCAUACGCCCUACGGGGGAAAGCAGGGGAUCUUCGGACCUUGCGCUAUUGGAUGAGCCUAAGUCGGAUUAGCUAGUUGGUGGGGUAAAGGCCUACCAAGGCGACGAUCCGUAGCUGGUCUGAGAGGAUGAUCAGCCACAUCGGGACUGAGACACGGCCCGAACUCCUACGGGAGGCAGCAGUGGGGAAUAUUGGACAAUGGGGGCAACCCUGAUCCAGCCAUGCCGCGUGUGUGAAGAAGGCUUUCGGGUUGUAAAGCACUUUCAGCGAGGAGGAAGGCCUUAAAGUUAAUACCUUUAAGGAUUGACGUUACUCGCAGAAGAAGCACCGGCUAACUCCGUGCCAGCAGCCGCGGUAAUACGGAGGGUGCAAGCGUUAAUCGGAAUUACUGGGCGUAAAGCGCGCGUAGGUGGUUUGGUAAGCGAGAUGUGAAGCCCCGGGCUUAACCUGGGAACGGCAUUUCGAACUGUCAGACUAGAGUGUGGUAGAGGGUAGUGGAAUUUCCUGUGUAGCGGUGAAAUGCGUAGAUAUAGGAAGG